CUCAAAACUUUUGCCACUUUAGGAAAAACAGGCUGUGCUUCUGUAAUAAAAUUAUUUUGCACAAGCAGGCAGGUUGGUAUCAAUUUUUGCAACAUUCCAGGCCAUUGAGCAGCCAUCCCAAAGUACAAUGGCCUUAUUUAUCUCAUCGCCAGGUCUUUUUUGUUGUUAAAUUGGGUGCUUCAUCACCUUUCGGUGUUUUGACACUUACAGGUAAUAACUUCACAAUCCUUGGAAUUUUCCCAGACCCUCAUGGAAACACAGCCUGAGUAUAAAGGCACCCACCAAAAAUUUGCCAGCCCCCUUUCACAAAUGGCUUGUGCUGUUGACCACGAGCUGCUUCACCACGUCUCAGAAAGCCAAAACCAGCAGUAUGGAGCCGAUGGCCCAGGAGGCUGAUACCUCCAACACCCGUUGGCCCAACUGGAACAGGGAAGAACUGGAAGACUUAAUCAACAUUUGGUUAAGGCAAAGGACCAUAGGCUGGACAGUAGGAGGAAUAAGGCUGUUUAUGUCAAGAUCACAAAGGCAUGCAGGCAUGAGGGCACAAUUGUGACUGGACCCAGGUCUGGUGCAAGAUCAAGUCUCUGAGAUCAGCAUUUUACAGAGCCAAAGAUGUAAACUCUCAUUCUGAGGUGGGUCGCACAAUUGCCCCCUUCUAUGACAAGCUGUCCAUCAUUCUCUCCAGGGAUGACAACCCGGGUAUGGAGACUUUCAGCACCAGGGAUGGGAUGGAGGAAGCGGUGGCAGUAGCCCCUCCUGAGGGUGAAACCAUGAGCAUGUCUCAGCUGUAUGGAGACUGCUCCCUGAUGACUGUGAGUGACAGGAAGAACCAUUGAUCACCAUACACUUAGUGCCACUUAACCCCUCCAUUCCACGGGCUAGCACAGAUGAUGAAAUGGAGGAGGUGGAUGGUCAGGAAGAAACCCAUGCGACUGAUGCAUCAUCUACUGCUACCGAGACCCAAGAACAUGCUGGAUCUGCUAGCAUGGGCAGUGGCAGCCAUGGACCUGUUUCCGAAGUGAGUACUUGUAAGUUUUGGGCAGUACGAGUGGUGUCUCACUGUUGUGGGGUCUGUUUCUGUGCCUGCCGGCAUUUUGUGCACUACAUGGUGGGUGUAGGGGUAGGGGUAUGUACUUUUCUCCUCUUGUGAGGCAGGCAACCAUUGUUUUUUUCUUUAUCAGCCACCACAACCCAUAGCCACAGGGAACGGCACCCCGCUCGCACUAUAGCAGAGCACUGCAGAGAUUUUCGCAGCAAGCAAGGAUGGUCCCACGAAACAUUGCUCGAGGUUUUGGCAGAGUCGUCAGUAGCCAGAGUGGAACAUGCAGACGCCUGGUGGGAUGAACUCCAUAAGUUGCUGCAUAAGGAGGAUGCCAUCCUCGAGCAAGUGAGAGUCCCCAUGCAGAAUUUGAAAAACCUGGUCAAUGAGUCCCGUGUUGAAUUAUAGAGGUCACAGGACACUUUCAAUGAUGCCUUUCAGAGUGCGCAGAAGUACCUAAAUAAACAGGUACGAUGCCCGAAAGGGAAAAGCCGAUCCACUCAUCUUGCCUCUGUACAACACAAGUGGACAAUUACAGCUGAGCCUGUUCCCCCUAACUCAGUGAGGUCACAGGAAGCUGUAUGACUGCCAGCAGGGCACCACUACAUUUCAGGGAGAUGGGGGCAGUUCAGGGUCAUGGUGGGGUGAAGGCAAAGAAGCACAAGUAACUAUAAUAGUGUGUUGCAAACAAUAAAACCUCAUGGUUUCC
Molecule: long non-coding RNA, 1748 nt
Organism: Gavialis gangeticus (Gharial)
Lineage: Eukaryota; Metazoa; Chordata; Crocodylia; Gavialidae
Exons: 2
Source: RefSeq, a predicted model, not a curated record